UGGCAAGUUAUUAAGGGUGCAGGGCGGAUGCUUGGCACUAGGAGCCGAUGAAGGACGUGAUAAGCUGCGAUAAGCUCGGGAGUGCACGUAACUUUGGAUCCGAAGAUUCGAAUGAGGAACUCACUAGACGUAGUCUGUAUCAUAAGUGAAUAACAUAGCUUAUGAGGGAACUCAG
This 175-nucleotide ribosomal RNA is filed under the name Clostridioides difficile. RNAcentral's name for it is "partial 23S ribosomal RNA". It matches the Rfam family "Bacterial large subunit ribosomal RNA", at positions 1 to 188 of the family's 2925-position model. The record is from RNAcentral. Lineage: Bacteria; Bacillati; Bacillota; Clostridia; Peptostreptococcales; Peptostreptococcaceae.